AUCUUUGCACAGUUGUAGUAUCGUAGCCAAUGAGAUUUAUCCAAGGUGCGAUUAUUGCUAAUUGAAAACUUUUCCCAAUAACCUGCUAUGACAACUUGAAAUAUGGUCAGCAUUGGCAAUUUUUGAUGGUCACUAUGGUAA
This 141-nucleotide small nuclear RNA is filed under the name Salvator merianae (Argentine black and white tegu). RNAcentral's name for it is "U4 spliceosomal RNA (ENSSMRG00000012744.1)". It matches the Rfam family "U4 spliceosomal RNA". Rfam says of the family: U4 small nuclear RNA (U4 snRNA) is a component of the major U2-dependent spliceosome. The structure of U4 snRNA from yeast and human has been reported. The record is from Rfam by way of RNAcentral. Lineage: Eukaryota; Metazoa; Chordata; Lepidosauria; Squamata; Teiidae.